This is a long non-coding RNA of Lontra canadensis (Northern American river otter), 645 nucleotides long. RefSeq lists it as uncharacterized. NCBI's taxonomy places the organism in Eukaryota, Metazoa, Chordata, Mammalia, Carnivora, Mustelidae. The transcript has 2 exons. The record is from RefSeq and is a predicted model, not a curated record.
UGGGGGUUCUACUGCUUCUGUGCUUAGGUUGUUGUGAAGACGUUGGGAGCCAAGUGCCGAAUUUGGCAAAAACGCAGAGAUAAUGUUGUUGUGGGGCCAACGUGGGCAUUAGAAUGCCACUGCUCUUCCCCUGGCUGGCUGAGGGGUUUGGGAGAAGAGGCUUUGCCUCUCUGGGACUCCGUUCUCUCAUACAUUCAGCUGGGGACAAUAUACGAGGGUUGAGGGGAGGCGAGACUAGCUGGAAGUACCGGGUACAAUGAAGGGCAGCUACUGGGCUCAGAACGAUGAUGAGGUUUUAGAUACUGAAGCCAGUGUCAGUUAACAUUCGGUUGCAGGGUCGGCCGCAGUGCUUUGGCCUGGACUUUGACCUGUCCCUGGGCCUUGCCUCUCUCCGGUGGCAGCUGGGAUGGCAGAUUCUUUCUGUUCCCUCAGACCAGGACCCCUUUCCUCCCCACCAGCCCAGACAGGGACACCAGAGUGGGCCUCACCUGGCGGCCCCAGAGCUUGCGGAAGAUCUGGAAAUAGGCCAUGGCCAUGAGGCCCAGUGGGGCCAGGUCUCUGGGGUCCCAGCCCCAAGCCUCCUGAAAGAAGGAGGGGAGGAAGGAAGAAAGAACACUAGGAGUGUGCCAGGCACUUUGCAGGUAA